Long non-coding RNA from Anneissia japonica, 4647 nucleotides. RefSeq lists it as uncharacterized. The record is from RefSeq and is a predicted model, not a curated record. The transcript has 3 exons. Lineage: Eukaryota; Metazoa; Echinodermata; Crinoidea; Comatulida; Comatulidae.
UAUUCUAGUACUGUAAAGUUCAUCAAUUUAAAUUAUUUAUUUUUGCUACUAAUGUACCUGUAAUGUAUGUUAUAGUGUAUGUCAUAAACUGCAUCUGCCUUUUGAUAUCAUAAUUAAUUAAACUCCCAAAUGUAUUCUGUGCCAAGUAAGUAAUGAUAGAACCAUUAGAGAGCGUGAAGAGUUAAAGGAACUCAAGGCGACUUAGAAACAAAGAAUAGAUAAUGGUGAGAAGGACUUGGUAAUUAGGAAGGGUAGGAUAACUACUUUCCGUGAAAAAAACCCCAAUAGUCAGACCGUUAAUCUAAGAACUGGGAAAAUUAGUUGCUUAAAUGUUUUUUACAAAAAUUGUGAUUCUUUUUUGAACAAGAAAUCUGAAUUAAUUCUACGUUUAGCAAAUGAAAAUGUGCACAUUAUUGCUUUAACAGAGGUUAUCCUGAAGAAGUAUUUAUUUGAGUUGUCUACUGAGGAGUUUCAUAUCCCUGGCUUUCAUUUAUUUGUGCCAGAUGAGAAGUUUGUUUUAGGUAGAGGAGUGGCAAUAUAUGUUAAAUUCGUCGUUCACAACACGAACUAACACAAUCAAAGUAGAUUGUGUUAGUUCGUGAAAUCACAGUAGCGCGUCAAAACGAGCGCUUAUUGGUUGUCAAGGAAUUUUGUAUUCUUUACCACACGAAAAGUCCUCAACAACAACAGUGCGUAUUUUGACGUGCUUUCUUGAUUUCACGAAUUAACACAAUCUAUUUUGAUUGUGUUAGUUCGUGAUGUGAGUGACAAAUUUACUGGCGAUGAAAAGCUGUAUUCAAGGUUCAAGGAGGACUUUCAGAGACUUGUGAAACCAACAAUGCAGUGUGACCAGUUGUCAUACACAUUGAGAAGUUGUUUAGGUAGUGAGCCAAUGAAAGUUGUCAUGCCAGCAGAGGAAAAGAUUGAAAGGAUUUGGAAAAUGUUAGACAACAGCUGUGGUAAUAGAUCAAAGCUGGUGGAUAUAGUAGUGGGUGAUUUGGUAAAGCUAGCAUAGAUACAACUGCGCAAGAGUUCUUGUCCGAGUUUUUUAAACCACUGAAAGGAAUCAAGACAUUUCAUCACAUGUGGUAUAUGUUAGUGUUAGGUUUACUUAACCAUACUUUGCCAUGAAAUGAAAAAUACCCCUACAUGGAAUCGGAAAUUGAAACAUAAUGUUUUACUUUUCCCCAGCAUUUAAUUUAUUUAUAAUUAAUAUAAAUAAUUUCUUACACAUAAUUCGAUUUUAUUAUUAUAGAUUUAACAGCAAGAACCAGGGCCGGUGUAUGUGAGGAAUACAGUAGUUUUCCAGAACAAAAAGUUCAACAUUAGAAGAAUCCUGACAUAUUAUCCCCUGAUGUGUUACCUGAACUUAUUCCUUCUCCAGGCUUGACUCCAGCUAGAGAAUGGUUCUUAUAGUAGAUAAUUAGGGAGUAUGCUUGUAUCUGAAUCAAAAAUCAGAUUAUUACAAAUUAACAACAAUAAUUUGCAAUGCAAAUACAAUUCAUUUAUAAUAUGAAAUCAGCAAGAAAUGUAAUUAAAACAACAUUAACUUAUAUGUUCCAAAUAUUAUUUUAUAAUGCAAUGUUAUGACCAAAUAUUCUAUUUUUUUAAAUAUAGUGCUUUCUAUUGGAUGGAUGUAGCAUGAAUAGAGUAUGACUUAGAAUUAAGGGUGCAUGUAAUUGUUUGGAUUAGAAUCCUUAUGUACACACAAAAAAAAAAAAAAAAACAAGGAAAAAGAAUGUCCCUAUGAAGACUAUUCCAGUACCAGUACCAUCUGAUUCCAAGAUAUACAUUUUCUAGUAAAGAGAACAAACAAGCAAACUUGCACUCUAUUCUGACUACAGAUUAAUGGGGACAAAAUGUGUUGAAGUAAGUUUACAAACGUUACUUGUUUUCGCAAGCAAAUCAAGAAUUGGGAUGAAUACGUGAAAAAACUACCUUGCUACAAAGAAAAUAGAGAGAAAAAGUAAUGACAUCACGUUUCCUGGCGACCGGAUUGUCUGGGCCAAACAAAACUAGGACAGUGUUGGAUGGUUGCUAGUAAUGCAGAUUAGUGGAUCGUACCAACUACAGUAAGCCUAGUGUUGGUAGCCAUGGGAUUGCUGAAUUUAUUUGCAAUUUUUAAAUUCUUUGGUGGCCUUAAUGAGAAGGCACUGCAAAAAGGGGAAAACCACCUGAAGUCAAACCAUGUUGAGGGUUGCCGUUACGCCGAUGGGUUAAUUGAAGGACGUGUGCAUGCCAGUAUGAAGAACAAGGUGUAUGAUGUUAAGAUACAAAUUGAAGGUACAGCCAAAAAUACAAAAAUCCUGUCAACAUCGUGCAAAUGUGCAAUUGGUCGGGUUCGCAUGCUGCGACAUUGGCUUUGUGGGCGCAAAACAAUAUUUCGUGAACAGACAUACCAUGUGAAUGGAACAAACCAAUGGGGAAAGCGGAGACAACAAAAAGCAUUCAGGAGAUGUAUCCUGCUGGGAAGGUAUACACACUGCUGCAACGACCCACUAAUUCUGAUGACAAAAAGGCUAUGGUGUCCGGACUCAAAUAUUGUGGCAUGUUUACAACCCUCUACUGGAUGCUACUUCCCGAGACAAUCAAAGAAACCGUAAACCUUCCUAUCCAAACUGUACGGGAACUAAUUGAAAAUUUUCCAGUGGCAAAUGUUGUCGUAGAGUUGGCAGAAUUCCUGAAGAGAGCCAUCCAUCCGUAAACUUCGAUGUGCUAUAAUCCUCCGAUGUCACUCACCCACCGUUACAUUUAUAUUCAUAAAACUACCGUAACUAUAUGGGGUUUUAUAUUUGAUUUAAAGUUUAAAAAUAACUAAACUAUAAUUAAUAAUUAUUAAAAUAAUUCAGCACAGUCCUGAUACCUUAGUGCAGUAAUGGCGAGCCCACCACCACAACUCACCCCAUACGGUUCAGUGGAAGUGAGCCAUACAUCGACAGGUCACCUAACUCCACUCCAAAUGGCAGGGUUUGACCCACCAUCAUCUACACCAACAAUGUCUGAGAAAUCUAGCCAAUCUAAACCGACACCAACACCCCGACCAUAUUCACAACUGAGUUUUCCUGAUGUCGAAACCAAACCAAUUCUGCCAAGCUCCAAUGUCAUAACAACCCACCAGACUAAACAGGUUGCGACGUUUUCCGGGCGCAACAACAGCCACCAAGUCGAGGAUUGGAUACGGGAUAUGCGAUUCCUAAUCGAAUCGAAGCUAUCGGAUAGUGCUGGCUACGGAGAGGUUAUUCGACACACACAGGGGAGGGCCCGAGAUCUGGUAUUGAAUUUAGAGGCCAGGGGCGAUGUCGGAAAAACAGCGUCAACAGCCUUGGAGAAGCUGAUGUUGGAAUAUGGUGAAGCAAACCCUACACUGUCACCAAUAACAAACUUUUAUGCUUGCGUUCAGAGGCGUGGAGAGAGUGCAAGCUAAUAUGCUAUCACCUUGGAAGCCAUGCUUAGGAAAGCUCAAAAGAUAAAACCCAUGGAGGGCAGUGAUAGGAUGCUUUCAUCUUAGUUUAUGCUUGCCCCAAUGAAAUCACGUGACAUGCCAUUUACUCAACUUAGACGGGAGCUUCGGAUCGUGGCAGAGGAAAGUAAUCAAGCAGAGAGGAGGGCAUUCUCGAUGAACCAGAUAUCAAGGACACUUCAUCCCAGAUUGACAAACUAAAAGAGGCCCUAGAUAAACAGUUAGAGGCUACUAAAAGCCUUAUCGAGUCGCACCAGAGCCUGUCAGAGCGGCUCCAUCGAAUCAAAAUUUCUGGGCCACGUGGUUUUACCAAUGAGAUAGCUCAACCACAGAGAGGACAGUGGACCACAGCAUCACAACACCAACCGAUAAAUCCACCUCAACAUCAACCACAGUCACGUUUCAACCAGCCAAAAGGGAAGCUGCUCCAGUGUCACAUCUCUCGAUACUGUCCACUACCAAACCGUCCUUUAAACUAGUUUCGCCUGCUGUUAAGGGGCAACCAGUGGGUGCGAUAGAGAAGAUCCCGUUUGUUGUAGAUAGUGAAGUUUUGAUCUGACUGACGAUGAAAUGGAAUGUGACGAAAAGACGGAAAAGAUUAAUUCCAUACCCAUUAUUCCACCGCCUAUCGAAUGUGAAUCAGACAUGUCAGUCAACAGUCCUAUGAAGUAUGGCUUAUCUGAGGACAGCUUCUCCGAGGACGAAUAUAGAGUAGUUCGUCCCCCAGUCCGGUUCGGCGAGUGAGAGGGGAUUAAUGGGUAUAAUGGACAUCACUUAGCUAAGCUGGAAACUCUUGUAUAAGUUUGGUUCUUUGCUUUGUUGAAUUUCCUUUAAUACUGUGCCUUGUAUCACAUUGGUUAUUAUUUUUAAUUGUUGGUGACAACAAUAACAAACUGGGGGGGGGGGUGUGUGAGGGUAUAUUUAAGACAGCAUUGCGCCCUCAGAGUGACCACAUCAAAUUACAUUAAGAUUAGGGACAAAGGCAGUGAUAGUCAAGCCAUCCAUCCGUAAACAUCGAUGUGCUAUAAUCCUCCGAUGUCACUCACCCACCGUUACAUUUAUAUUCAUAAAACUACCGUAACUAUAUGGGGUUUGAGCCGCUAUUUUAAUCUCACUAUUGUGGAAAGACUGUGCUGUUAACUUAACAUAUAUCUUUUAAUUUGAAUCUUUCUAAUUUUUAUCGUAAA